AGCUUUAGGGAUGUAUCUAAAGUUAAACCUGCCCAAUGUGUUUGUAUGAAUGGCCGCGGUACCCUGACCGUGCUAAGGUAGCGCAAUCAAUUGGCCCUUAAUUGGGGUCAGGUAUGAAUGGAAUUACGGGGCUUUACUGUCUCCUAGCUAAUAAAUUGAAUUUACUAUAUAGGUGAAAAAGCCUAUUAUUUGAAAAAGGACGAGAAGACCCUUAGAGUUUUACUUAUUUUGAUUAUUAUAUUUUUCGAGUUGGUUUAGUUGGGGCAACAUAGGAGCAAAAAAUAAUUAAUCUCCUAAAUAUAAUUUACCGAUAAUUAUAAAUGUAAAUAAACUACCUUAGGGAUAACAGCAUAAUGUUAAAAUUAAGUUUAUGACCUCGAUGUUGGACUAGGAAACUAAAAGGCUAGCCGUCUUUUAGGGAAGUUCUGUUCGAACUAUUUAUUCCU
Molecule: ribosomal RNA, 446 nt
Filed under: Tyrinna nobilis
Lineage: Eukaryota; Metazoa; Mollusca; Gastropoda; Nudibranchia; Chromodorididae
Description: partial 16S ribosomal RNA
Rfam family: Archaeal large subunit ribosomal RNA
Source: RNAcentral